Molecule: long non-coding RNA, 1530 nt
Filed under: Brassica napus (rape)
Lineage: Eukaryota; Viridiplantae; Streptophyta; Magnoliopsida; Brassicales; Brassicaceae
Description: long non-coding RNA (BNAP_LNC009209)
Source: RNAcentral
UUGGAUCAAGAUGGUGCGGAUCAAGAGACAUCAAGCUUCGUCUAAGAUGGUUCGGAUCAAGAUGGUGGGGGUGAACAGACAUCAACGCUCGACUACUAUUUCAUAGAGGUACAUUUUCUAUUUUUUACAACUUAGAUAGAUUGAAAGGUUGAUAAAUAUUUAGUUAGGCUCUGGAUGAUGUUGAUUUCGACUGUGUUCUGAACCGAAUUGAUUGUGCCUUUGGUUUGAUAGAUUGUGGUAAUUAAUGUAGUGGUUAGUGAUAUAUUGAACAUUGUCUUAGGUAAUAAAUAGAUGUAAGAAGUUAGAUAGAAAUGAAAGUUGAAGUUCGAGCUCAAACUUAAUGUGUUAGAUAAAUGUCUUCUCGAAAUGGUUGGGUGUUAUGCACGCUUUCAUCAAUGGUGAUCAAUGCUCUUUUCUUUCUUUCCUCCUUCUGUUCUAUAAAAAUGUAUCAUUCUUCUCUUCCUUCUAUCUAAAACCAAUUUCGAAACUUCUUGAUUUUUUUCUUCUUUCCUCCUUCCCUUCUAUAUGGAUUCCAAUUCAUAUACUCCUUGCUCAAACUUUGUUGACCUGCUGAAUAGUCAGCAGGACACUGUCUAUGGAUUGGUUGAUGACAGUGUCGAAGUUUCUUCCUCCCAAUUCUCUGUCUUUAGCAGUCAAGCAACACAAGAUGAGACCCCUGCAGAGCGUAAGGAAAGGAGGUCAUGGACGCCUAUAGAUGACGUAGCUCUCAUCAGCGCUUGGUUAAAUACAAGCAAAGAUCCAGUCGUAGCUAAUGAGCAACGCGCUGGUGCGUUUUGGAAGAGGAUAGCUGCCUACUUCGCGGCAAGUCCCAAGCUGGCAGGUUCUGAACCGCGGGAGUCUGAUCAUUGUAAGCAGCGUUGGCGGAAGAUCAACGACCAAGUGAACAAGUUUUGUGGGGCGUUUGAAGCUGCAAGUAGGGAGAAGAGGAGUGGCCAGAAUGAAAAUGAUGUUCUGAAACUUGCCCAUGAGAUCUUCUACAACAACCAUAAAAAGAAGUUCACUCUACAGCAUGCUUGGAAGGAGUUGAAGAAUGAUCAGAAAUGGUGUGAGUUGACUACUUCUAAAACCGAAGGCAGUGCUAAAAGAAGGAAGCUUGAUGACAGUGCACAAUCCUCUCACGCAUUUCAGACCACCACUGGUGAUGAGCAAGCUACCAACCGACCACCGGGUGUUAAGGCUUCAAAGGGCCGUGGUAAAAACCCACAGGCAGAUGGUAAGGGGGUCAAUGAUGUUGUUGUUUGUUAUUGCAGGUCACGGUGUGUACUAUUGAAGCAGAUGUGGUGUAAUGCACUAUUGAAGCAGAUGUGAUGACAGCUUCUGCUUCACGGUUGUGGUGUAAUGACAAGUAUAAGUUGUCAUUACAGUAUGUUUGUUGGGUGUUUGUGUCACGGUCACGGAUGUGGUGUAAUGCACGUUGUAUUAUUGAAGCAGAAGCUGUCUUUUUUUGUAUGUUUGUGUCACGGAUAAGUUGUAUGUUUGUGUCAUGGUUAAAGUUGUAUGUUUAUGUCA